GGCUCUGUGGUGCAAUGGAUAGCGCAUUGGACUUCUAAUUCAAAGGCUGUGGGUUCAAGUCCCCCCAGAGUCA
Molecule: transfer RNA, 73 nt
Filed under: Chrysemys picta bellii (western painted turtle)
Lineage: Eukaryota; Metazoa; Chordata; Testudines; Emydidae
Description: tRNA-Arg (TCT) (tRNA-Arg-TCT-8-1)
Rfam family: tRNA
About the family: Transfer RNA (tRNA) molecules are approximately 80 nucleotides in length.
Source: RNAcentral